Molecule: long non-coding RNA, 1254 nt
Filed under: Bemisia tabaci
Lineage: Eukaryota; Metazoa; Arthropoda; Insecta; Hemiptera; Aleyrodidae
Description: lncRNA ENSSSA2NGG014047
Source: RNAcentral
AUUCAAGUGAGUUGGCACCAUGAUGGCCGCCACACCAAUAUCCAUUUUAAUGUGAAGGCGUCAGCAUGAUUCUCUCUGAGGCCCCCGUACUCCGCAACCGAUAAUUCCAUUUUCUUGCGUAGGGAAGUUUUAUUUGAAGAAAAAUUGCGGAUGGAAUUCGAGCAUUUGGAGAUCCUUGAAUAUUGGUGUCUGUCGGCGCGAAAGAAUAUCACACGGUUAGAACAAAGUCCCGUUUCUGAGAAAAGCUGGGAGCAGCUGACGAAUGAAUACAAGGAUGCGGAGAAAAUAAGACGCGAAGCAUUGAGCCUGGUAACGGAGAAACACACAGAAUCCGAGAUCAUGGCAACAUACAUGGCGACUUUCGCUGAUUUCAGCAGAAUGUUGGAUAAAACGCGCAUGGCGAUUGAAGAUGUUCGAUCGAUUCUCAUGACCGACGAUCUUGAAAAGCCAACGGAUUUGGUAAAUCCGUGGGUGUCCCUUGUCCGCGUAGAGCUGCUGACUAACGCAACAAAAAUUUUGGAAACCAGACUGACGCAGGGGGCCAAAGACGUCCCUAGGGAGGCUCUCGAAGACACCGACUUUUGGAUUCUUUUGGCUGCCUUCCAAAGUAGCGGCGAAUUUUGACUGAGUCCAUCACAAAAGUUGAUGAUGCAAGGAGAAAUUGCAGAGAAGCAAUCCGAGCAUGCGUUUUGCAUGUGAAAACUGUGCGGAAAUAAGAUCGUGUAAAAAAUCACCCAAAGCUUUCGGCAACCGGAGAUUGGGUUUAAAAACACAACGCUCGUGGUAGUGCUAUUAAAAUUCCACCAGCGUAGGAGAUCGCGGUUUAUUUAUACCCAAAGUUAAGAAAGCGAAAAAGAGAGGGAAGAGAAAGCUCCUCUGCUCGCUGGCCAUGUUCGUCAUCUGAAUUAAAAUCACGUUUAACAUUUUCUCCAUGAUUAUUAAAUUUUUAAAUGAAAACCGGGGACAAAGACCGGAGAAAAAACUCCGGAAUCAAACAGGUGUAAAAUUAAAUAGAUCUCUUUCGUCGAGAUUUGUACGCGGGGACGCCAAGGAGCUUUUCUUUCCUCUCUCUUUACGACAACGUUUUUUAUUCUUCGGCGUUGUUUAAAGUAAAACAAGGUAAUGCUUCGUCUGAAAAUUAAAAAAAAAAAAUUAUAUCGUGCUCUAAAGGAGGCUAAACAAGAACUCUAAAUGUUGCAGAAACGAGGGAUGGAUAGGAUGUAAUUGUGGACGAUUGUAAAAGUAGAAUUUUGU